RNAcentral lists this ribosomal RNA (429 nucleotides) under Actinomycetes bacterium. RNAcentral describes it as "Actinobacteria bacterium partial 16S ribosomal RNA". It matches the Rfam family "Bacterial small subunit ribosomal RNA", at positions 355 to 776 of the family's 1533-position model. The record is from RNAcentral. Lineage: Bacteria; Bacillati; Actinomycetota; Actinomycetes.
UAGGGAAUCUUCCGCAAUGGGCGAAAGCCUGACGGAGCAACGCCGCGUGAGUGAUGAAGGUCUUCGGAUCGUAAAACUCUGUUAUCAGGGAAGAACAAAUGUGUAAGUAACUAUGCACGUCUUGACGGUACCUAAUCAGAAAGCCCCGGCUAACUACGUGCCAGCAGCCGCGGUAAUACGUAGGUGGCAAGCGUUAUCCGGAAUUAUUGGGCGUAAAGCGCGCGUAGGCGGUUUUUUAAGUCUGAUGUGAAAGCCCACGGCUUAACCGGGGGGGGUCAUGGGAAACUGGAAAUCUAGAGUGCAGAAGAGGAAAGUGGAAUUCCAUGUGUAGCGGUGAAAUGCGCAGAGAUAUGGAGGAACAACAGUGGCGAAGGCGACUUUCUGGUCUGUAACUGACGCUGAUGUGCGAAAGCGUGGGGAUCAAACAGG